Molecule: transfer RNA, 73 nt
Filed under: Eurycotis sp. B074
Lineage: Eukaryota; Metazoa; Arthropoda; Insecta; Blattodea; Blattidae
Description: tRNA-Cys
Source: RNAcentral
GGCUUUAUAUUCAUAUUAAAUGAUAACAGAUUGCAAUUCUGUAGGAGUAAUAUAAAUACAUUUACUAAGGCUU